Non-coding RNA from Mycena leptocephala, 84 nucleotides. The record is from the annotation of a GenBank genome assembly. NCBI's taxonomy places the organism in Eukaryota, Fungi, Basidiomycota, Agaricomycetes, Agaricales, Mycenaceae.
UCCACUACAGUUCAGUGGUAGAAUGGCCCGCACGGUUUGAGUUUCGACCGCGGGAGGUCGAGGGUUCGAUUCCCUCUAGUGGCA